CCUACGGGAGGCAGCAGUGAGGAAUAUUGGUCAAUGGGCGCAAGCCUGAACCAGCCAAGUCGCGUGAGGGAUGACGGUCCUAUGGAUUGUAAACCUCUUUUGUCGGGGAGCAAGGCCCGCCACGUGUGGCGGGAAGGAGAGUACCCGAAGAAAAAGCAUCGGCUAACUCCGUGCCAGCAGCCGCGGUAAUACGUAGGGGGCGAGCGUUAUCCGGAAUUACUGGGUGUAAAGGGAGCGUAGACGGCGAGGUAAGCCUGAAGUGGAAGCCCGCGGCCCAACCGCGGAACUGCUUUGGGAACUGUUUUGCUGGAGUAUGGGAGGGGUAAGCGGAAUUCCUGGUGUAGCGGUGAAAUGCGUAGAUAUCAGGAGGAACACCGGUGGCGAAGGCGGCUUACUGGACCAUAACUGACGUUGAGGCUCGAAAGCGUGGGGAGCGAACAGGAUUAGAUACCCGGGUAGUC
This 461-nucleotide ribosomal RNA is filed under the name uncultured bacterium. RNAcentral describes it as "partial 16S ribosomal RNA". It matches the Rfam family "Bacterial small subunit ribosomal RNA", at positions 338 to 795 of the family's 1533-position model. The record is from RNAcentral.